Molecule: ribosomal RNA, 513 nt
Filed under: uncultured archaeon
Lineage: Archaea
Description: bacterial SSU rRNA
Rfam family: Archaeal small subunit ribosomal RNA
Source: RNAcentral
GCGAAAACUCCACAAUGUACGGAAGUACGAUGGGGUUAUCUCGAGUGCAGUCCGAUAAGGGUUGCUUUUCCAUAGAGUAAUAUCCUGUGGGAAUAAGAGGGGGGCAAGACUGGUGUCAGCCGCCGCGGUAACACCAGCCCCUCGAGUGGUGGGGACUAUUAUUUGGCCUAAAGCGUCCGUAGCUGGCUGUAUCCGUCCCCCGUUAAAUCCAGCGUCCUAAGCGUUGGACCGCGGGUGAUACCAUACAGCUAGAGGGUGGGAUAGGUGGGCGGUAUUUCUGGGGUAGGGGCGAAAUCCUUUGAUCCCAGGAGGACCACCAGUGGCGAAGGCUGCCCACUAGAACACGCCUGACGGUCAGGGACGAAAGCUGGGGCAGCGAACCGGAUUAGAUACCCGGGUAGUCCUAGCCGUAAACGAUGCGAGCUAGGUGUCACGUGGAUUGCGAAUCCAUGUGGUGCCGAAGGGAAACCGUGAAGCUCGCCGCCUGGGAAGUACGGCCGCAAGGCUGAAACU